This 441-nucleotide ribosomal RNA is filed under the name uncultured bacterium. RNAcentral describes it as "bacterial SSU rRNA". It matches the Rfam family "Bacterial small subunit ribosomal RNA", at positions 958 to 1400 of the family's 1533-position model. The record is from RNAcentral.
AACGCGAAGAACCUUACCUACCCUUGUAUCCUCGGAAUUUUACAGAGAUGUAGAAGUGCCUUCGGGAACCGAGAGACAGGUGCUGCAUGGCUGUCGUCAGCUCGUGUCGUGAGAUGUUGGGUUAAGUCCCGUAACGAGCGCAACCCUUAUUCUUAGUUGCCAGCGGUUAGGCCGGGAACUUUAAGGAGACUGCCGGUGACAAACCGGAGGAAGGUAGGGAUGACGUCAAGUCCUCAUGGCCUUUAUGGGUAGGGCCACACGCGUGCUACAAUGGGUGUUACAAAGGGUUGCAAGCCUGCGAAGGUGAGCCAAUCUCAAAAAAGCACUCGUAGUCCGGAUUGGAGUCUGCAACUCGACUCCAUGAAGCUGGAAUCGCUAGUAAUCGCAAAUCAGAAUGUUGCGGUGAAUACGUUCCCGGGCCUUGUACACACCGCACUACUA